CUCUUUUUUAACCUUAAUUUUCAGGAUUUGGUGCUGGCUUGCCAAGGACUGUCCCAUUGUUCGUGACUGAGCACAGGGAGCAGCCUGCAGCCAAGCUGCCAUGUUAAGGAAAUUGCCUCGAUUUCACUGAUUCUUUGCUAUGAAGUUCAACCAACAGCCACUGUGUUCCUGGGGAAAUGGAUGCUCUAUGGCCAUUACAGGAUGACAG
This 208-nucleotide long non-coding RNA is filed under the name Phasianus colchicus (ring-necked pheasant). RNAcentral's name for it is "lncRNA (ENSPCLG00000004373.1)". Lineage: Eukaryota; Metazoa; Chordata; Aves; Galliformes; Phasianidae. The record is from RNAcentral.